GACGAGGUGGCCGAGUGGUGAAGGUGAUGGACUGCUAAUCCAUUGUUCUCUGUGGGUUCGAAUCCCACCCUCGUCG
Non-coding RNA from Thamnophis elegans (Western terrestrial garter snake), 76 nucleotides. The record is from the annotation of a RefSeq genome assembly. NCBI's taxonomy places the organism in Eukaryota, Metazoa, Chordata, Lepidosauria, Squamata, Natricidae.